Molecule: ribosomal RNA, 429 nt
Filed under: Chloroflexota bacterium
Lineage: Bacteria; Bacillati; Chloroflexota
Description: Chloroflexi bacterium partial 16S ribosomal RNA
Rfam family: Bacterial small subunit ribosomal RNA
Source: RNAcentral
UGGGGAAUAUUGCACAAUGGGCGCAAGCCUGAUGCAGCCAUGCCGCGUGUGUGAAGAAGGCCUUCGGGUUGUAAAGCACUUUCAGCGGGGAGGAAGGCGGUGAGGUUAAUAACCUCAUCGAUUGACGUUACCCGCAGAAGAAGCACCGGCUAACUCCGUGCCAGCAGCCGCGGUAAUACGGAGGGUGCAAGCGUUAAUCGGAAUUACUGGGCGUAAAGCGCACGCAGGCGGUUGAUUGAGUCAGAUGUGAAAUCCCCGGGCUUAACCCGGGAAUUGCAUCUGAUACUGGUCAGCUAGAGUCUCGUAGAGGGGGGUAGAAUUCCAGGUGUAGCGGUGAAAUGCGUAGAGAUCUGGAGGAAUACCGGUGGCGAAGGCGGCCCCCUGGACGAAGACUGACGCUCAGGUGCGAAAGCGUGGGGAGCAAACUGG